AUUGAACGCUGGCGGCAUGCCUUACACAUGCAAGUCGAACGGUAACAGGUCUUCGGAUGCUGACGAGUGGCGAACGGGUGAGUAAUACAUCGGAACGUGCCUAGUAGUGGGGGAUAACUACUCGAAAGAGUGGCUAAUACCGCAUGAGAUCUACGGAUGAAAGCAGGGGAUCGCAAGACCUUGUGCUACAAGAGCGGCCGGUGGCAGAUUAGGUAGUGGGUGGGAUAAAAGCUUACCAAGCCGACGAUCUGUAGCUGGUCUGAGAGGACGAUCAGCCACACUGGGACUGAGAAACGGCCCAGACUCCUACGGGAGGCAGCAGUGGGGAAUUUUGGACAAUGGGCGCAAGCCUGAUCCAGCAAUGCCGCGUGCAGGAUGAAGGCCUUCGGGUUGUAAACUGCUUUUGUACGGAACGAAAAGCCCCGGGUUAAUACCCUGGGGUCAUGACGGUACCGUAAGAAUAAGCACCGGCUAACUACGUGCCAGCCGCCGCAGUAA
RNAcentral lists this ribosomal RNA (498 nucleotides) under uncultured bacterium. RNAcentral's name for it is "partial 16S ribosomal RNA". It matches the Rfam family "Bacterial small subunit ribosomal RNA", at positions 30 to 523 of the family's 1533-position model. The record is from RNAcentral.